AAAUUGAAGAGUUUGAUCAUGGCUCAGAUUGAACGCUGGCGGCAGGCCUAACACAUGCAAGUCGAGCGGAAACGACAACAUUGAAUCUUCGGAGGAUUUGUUGGGCGUCGAGCGGCGGACGGGUGAGUAAUGCCUAGGAAAUUGCCUUGAUGUGGGGGAUAACCAUUGGAAACGAUGGCUAAUACCGCAUAAUGCCUACGGGCCAAAGAGGGGGACCUUCGGGCCUCUCGCGUCAAGAUAUGCCUAGGUGGGAUUAGCUAGUUGGUGAGGUAAUGGCUCACCAAGGCGACGAUCCCUAGCUGGUCUGAGAGGAUGAUCAGCCACACUGGAACUGAGACACGGUCCAGACUCCUACGGGAGGCAGCAGUGGGGAAUAUUGCACAAUGGGCGAAAGCCUGAUGCAGCCAUGCCGCGUGUAUGAAGAAGGCCUUCGGGUUGUAAAGUACUUUCAGUUGUGAGGAAGGGGGUAACGUUAAUAGCGUUAUCUCUUGACGUUAGCAACAGAAGAAGCACCGGCUAACUCCGUGCCAGCAGCCGCGGUAAUACGGAGGGUGCGAGCGUUAAUC
This 566-nucleotide ribosomal RNA is filed under the name Vibrio splendidus. Its description in RNAcentral is "bacterial SSU rRNA". It matches the Rfam family "Bacterial small subunit ribosomal RNA", at positions 1 to 546 of the family's 1533-position model. Lineage: Bacteria; Pseudomonadati; Pseudomonadota; Gammaproteobacteria; Vibrionales; Vibrionaceae. The record is from RNAcentral.